UAAAUUUUAGUUUAAGUUUUAAAAUUUUUUUUUUACAAAAAAAAGAUAUUAUUUGUUAUUAAAUUUAU
Molecule: transfer RNA, 68 nt
Filed under: Encyrtus aurantii
Lineage: Eukaryota; Metazoa; Arthropoda; Insecta; Hymenoptera; Encyrtidae
Description: tRNA-Val
Source: RNAcentral